Molecule: ribosomal RNA, 252 nt
Filed under: uncultured Bacteroidales bacterium
Lineage: Bacteria; Pseudomonadati; Bacteroidota; Bacteroidia; Bacteroidales
Description: partial 16S ribosomal RNA
Rfam family: Bacterial small subunit ribosomal RNA
Source: RNAcentral
UACGGAGGAUGCGAGCGUUAUCCGGAUUUAUUGGGUUUAAAGGGUGCGUAGGCGGAAUAUCAAGUCAGCGGUAAAAAUUCGGGGCUCAACCUCGUCGUGCCGUUGAAACUGACACCCUUGAGUGAGUGAGAAGUAAGCGGAAUGCGCGGUGUAGCGGUGAAAUGCAUAGAUAUCACGCAGAACGCCGAUUGCGAAGGCAGCGUACCGGCGCCAGACUGACGCUGAGGCACGAAAGCGUGGGGAUCGAACAGG